AAAAAUUUCUCCUGUGAUUGCGUUUUGAUUUUUGUAGGUGCUUCACGAUUCCAAUUAUCUCUCGCGAUGAUGGUGGAAAACGAAGGAAAUCACGCUCCUGAGUUUCGCCUCCUGAGUCUCGAUCGUGCUUGCGCGACUAGGGUUCACUAAUUUGGGGAUUUUUUCUGCGUUUUAGGGUUCCUCUGCUGUUUCUGGUUCUUCUGCGUUUCAGGUUGCGAAGACAGUGGAGAUCGAAUAACGAUUGGUGGUGGCCUAGCGAGUAGCUCGCGAAGAGGCGCUGGUGUGUUUGCAUGGUCUCUGCGGCGACAUUGACGAGGUGGUCAGGUUCUGAUUUUGUCUCACAGUGGUGAAAAUGUUGGGCGAACUCGCGAUUCGGUUCCUGCAAUUUGCAGUUCUCUCUACAGUGGCUGCCAUGGAAGCGUGAUUUGGUUACCGGAGAAGAUGAAGGAUGGCAUUCCAGGAGCAAUGUUUGGUGAUGGCAGUGCUUUUGGACCUUUCCAUGUGUUCUAUGAAAUGAGAUGACCACUUUGCCCUUAUUUAAAUUUUAUUUUCCCUCUUUG
RNAcentral lists this small RNA (560 nucleotides) under Vigna angularis var. angularis. RNAcentral's name for it is "Non-protein coding transcript". The record is from RNAcentral. Lineage: Eukaryota; Viridiplantae; Streptophyta; Magnoliopsida; Fabales; Fabaceae.